Molecule: transfer RNA, 76 nt
Filed under: Parabacteroides distasonis
Lineage: Bacteria; Pseudomonadati; Bacteroidota; Bacteroidia; Bacteroidales; Tannerellaceae
Also listed under: 36 other names
Description: tRNA-Ala
Rfam family: tRNA
About the family: Transfer RNA (tRNA) molecules are approximately 80 nucleotides in length. Their secondary structure includes four short double-helical elements and three loops (D, anti-codon, and T loops).
Source: RNAcentral
GGGGGUGUAGCUCAGCUGGGAGAGCACCUGCCUUGCAAGCAGGGGGUCAGCGGUUCGAUUCCGCUCAUCUCCACCA